Molecule: ribosomal RNA, 468 nt
Filed under: uncultured bacterium
Lineage: Bacteria
Description: partial 16S ribosomal RNA
Rfam family: Bacterial small subunit ribosomal RNA
Source: RNAcentral
GACGAACGCUGGCGGCGUGCUUAACACAUGCAAGUCGAACGGAAAGGCCCUGCUUUUGUGGGGUGCUCGAGUGGCGAACGGGUGAGUAACACGUGAGUAACCUGCCCUUGACUUUGGGAUAACUUCAGGAAACUGGGGCUAAUACCGGAUAGGAGCUCCUGCUGCAUGGUGGGGGUUGGAAAGUUUCGGCGGUUGGGGAUGGACUCGCGGCUUAUCAGCUUGUUGGUGGGGUAGUGGCUUACCAAGGCUUUGACGGGUAGCCGGCCUGAGAGGGUGACCGGACACAUUGGGAACGAUAGACCGGCGGGCGUCCUACGGGAGGAAGCCGGGGGGAGGAUUGCAGACUGGGUGGAAGUCUGAUGCCGCCGAGCCGCGUGAGGGAUGAUGGGCGUCGGUGGGGAAACAGGUUGCGCCUGUGACGAAGGGUGAGUGAGGGUCAUGGGUAAAGAAGAAACGGCUCACUAAGUG